Molecule: ribosomal RNA, 781 nt
Filed under: uncultured Fusobacterium sp.
Lineage: Bacteria; Fusobacteriati; Fusobacteriota; Fusobacteriia; Fusobacteriales; Fusobacteriaceae
Description: bacterial SSU rRNA
Rfam family: Bacterial small subunit ribosomal RNA
Source: RNAcentral
GAUGACAGAAUGCUUAACACAUGCAAGUCGACUCGAGUCUUCGGACUUGGGUGGCGCACGGGUGAGUAACGCGUAAAGAACUUGCCUCUUAGUCUGGGACAACAUCUGGAAACGGAUGCUAAUACCGGAUAUUAUGGUUUUUUCGCAUGGAGGAAUCAUGAAAGCUAGAUGCGCUAAGAGAGAGCUUUGCGUCCCAUUAGCUAGUUGGUGAGGUAACGGCCCACCAAGGCAAUGAUGGGUAGCCGGCCUGAGAGGGUGAACGGCCACAAGGGGACUGAGACACGGCCCUUACUCCUACGGGAGGCAGCAGUGGGGAAUAUUGGACAAUGGACCACAAGUCUGAUCCAGCAAUUCUGUGUGCACGAUGACGUUUUUCGGAAUGUAAAGUGCUUUCAGUCGGGAAGAAGUCAGUGACGGUACCGACAGAAGAAGCGACGGCUAAAUACGUGCCAGCAGCCGCGGUAAUACGUAUGUCGCAAGCGUUAUCCGGAUUUAUUGGGCGUAAAGCGCGUCUAGGCGGUAAGGAAAGUCUGAUGUGAAAAUGCGGAGCUCAACUCCGUAUGGCGUUGGAAACUGCCUUACUAGAGUACUGGAGAGGUAGGCGGAACUACAAGUGUAGAGGUGAAAUUCGUAGAUAUUUGUAGGAAUGCCGAUGGGGAAGCCAGCCUACUGGACAGAUACUGACGCUAAAGCGCGAAAGCGUGGGUAGCAAACAGGAUUAGAUACCCUGGUAGUCCACGCUGUAAACGAUGAUUACUAGGUGUUGGGGGGUCAAACCUCA